UACGAGGGCCUCGAGCGUUAUCCGGAUUUAUUGGGCGUAAAGGGUGCGUAGGAGGUUCGGUGCGUCCGCUGUGAAAUCACACCGCUCAACGGUGUGGCUCGCGGCAGAUACGGCCGAACUUGAGGGUGUCAGAGGCUACUGGAACACAUGGUGUAGGGGUGAAAUCCGUUGAUAUCAUGUGGAACACCGAAGGCGAAGGCAGGUAGCUGGGACAUUCCUGACUCUGAGGCACGAAAGCGUGGGUAGCGAAUGGG
Molecule: unclassified non-coding RNA, 254 nt
Filed under: Candidatus Colwelliibacteriota bacterium
Lineage: Bacteria; Candidatus Colwelliibacteriota
Description: Candidatus Colwellbacteria bacterium contains 16S-23S intergenic spacer region
Rfam family: Bacterial small subunit ribosomal RNA
Source: RNAcentral